UUUCCGUAGGUGAACCUGCGGAAGGAUCAUUAAUAAUAAGUGUAUUAUGGCACUUUUUUAAAUCCACAUCCACCUUGUGUCCAAUGUCAGGGUUGAUCUUUCUCUAGCGAGGCUCAGCCCCAAACAUCAACUAUAUCUCAAUUCUUUGUCUGAAAAAUAUUAUGAAUCAAACAAUUCAAAAUACAACUUUCAACAACGGAUCUCUUGGCUCUC
RNAcentral lists this unclassified non-coding RNA (213 nucleotides) under plant metagenome. RNAcentral describes it as "partial contains small subunit ribosomal RNA, internal transcribed spacer 1, and 5.8S ribosomal RNA". The record is from RNAcentral.